Lacerta agilis (Sand lizard) is the source of this 129-nucleotide long non-coding RNA. RefSeq lists it as uncharacterized. NCBI's taxonomy places the organism in Eukaryota, Metazoa, Chordata, Lepidosauria, Squamata, Lacertidae. The record is from RefSeq and is a predicted model, not a curated record. The transcript has 3 exons.
GUCCCCUCGCGAUACCUAGACUAUCGAAAAGGAUCUGGAAAGGCCGCUGCCAAAGCCACAGCUGACCCUCACGAGGUUUUGCAGUCCACUCUGGUGGAGAGCAACGGAAGAUCCCGGCCCGAACCAAAG